Molecule: ribosomal RNA, 431 nt
Filed under: uncultured bacterium
Lineage: Bacteria
Description: partial 16S ribosomal RNA
Rfam family: Bacterial small subunit ribosomal RNA
Source: RNAcentral
AACGAACGCUGGCGGCAGGCUUAACACAUGCAAGUCGAGCGCCCCGUAAGGGGAGCAGCAGACGGGUGAGUAACGCGUGGGAACGUACCUUUUGGUUCGGAACAACUCCGGGAAACUGGAGCUAAUACCGGAUAAGCCCUAACGGGGAAAGAUUUAUCGCCGAAAGAUCGGCCCGCGUCUGAUUAGCUAGUUGGUGAGGUAACGGCUCACCAAGGCGACGAUCAGUAGCUGGUCUGAGAGGAUGAUCAGCCACACUGGGACUGAGACACGGCCCAGACUCCUACGGGAGGCAGCAGUGGGGAAUAUUGGACAAUGGGCGCAAGCCUGAUCCAGCCAUGCCGCGUGAGUGAUGAAGGCCUUAGGGUUGUAAAGCUCUUUUGUCCGGGAAGAUAAUGACUGUACCGGAAGAAUAAGCCCCGGCUAACUUCGUG